CAAACUACCUGCCCUCCAGGACACCUACACCACCCGAUGCUACAGGAAGGCCAUAAAGAUCAUCAAGGACAUCAACCACCCGAGCCACUGCCUGUUCACCCCGCUGUCAUCCAGAAGGCGAGUUUCAGCUACAAGAGGAAGUGACAUUGCAGGCUAUGUAAUCCUGUUUCUCAUAUUGUUGGCUGUUGUGUGUCUGGUGGUGAUUCUCUAUAUCCUGAGGAAGAAGUCCAGGAGGUACUCGUUUGAUCUGCAGUAUCCAGGUUAUGACCACGACACCCCCCUCACCUGCAUGGAACAACCCGGAACCUUCGAACCCAACAACGAUCAGGAGAUCUGGGAGUCUGAGAGAGAGGGUGGUGAUGAGGAUCCCCAUGCUAUGAGCCCUGUAGCUAACGGCUCAGCUAUGGGGGCUGGAGAGACUGGCUCUACAGGGGAGAACGAAGGAGAGAAGCAGGCUCAUGGUGAUAGUGACGGAGACAGCUUCAACAACUUCUGUGCCAGUGAUGUCACUCCGCCCAUAAAAAGGGUUGGCUUUAGCCUGGACCUCGACCUGAGUGACAAGGUGUUACUCGGCUCCAGCCCUGACCUUUGACCCUUGAGUGACAGGGUGUUACUCGGCUCCGGCCCUGACCUUCGACCCUGUAUGUCCAGAUAACGUCUUCACUGAGAUCAAGAUGUACAUAGCACCUUUUAUUUGAUCUAUAAAAUGUCAGAAUGUACACGGCUCCAGAUCAGUGUUUACUUUCUGAUACUGUAAUUCAUUUUAAUAAUGUUUUGAGCGUGACCAAGAGAGCGAUGUCACGUGGUUUUAGAAUGAAAAAAAUGUACUUCACAGAGGACUUGACGUGGUCAUUAUUAUUAUUAUUAUUAUUAUUAUUAUUAUUAUCAUUAUUAUUAUUAUUAUUAUUAUUAUCAUUAUUAUUAUUAUUAUUAUUCUCAUUAUUAUUAUUAUUAUUAU
Oncorhynchus tshawytscha (Chinook salmon) is the source of this 958-nucleotide long non-coding RNA. NCBI's taxonomy places the organism in Eukaryota, Metazoa, Chordata, Actinopteri, Salmoniformes, Salmonidae. The record is from Ensembl.